GACGAACGCUGGCGGCGUGCUUAACACAUGCAAGUCGAACGGAAAGGCCCUGCUUUUGUGGGGUGCUCGAGUGGCGAACGGGUGAGUAACACGUGAGUAACCUGCCCUUGACUUUGGGAUAACUUCAGGAAACUGGGGCUAAUACCGGAUAGGAGCUCCUGCUGCAUGGUGGGGGUUGGAAAGUUUCGGCGGUUGGGGAUGGACUCGCGGCUUAUCAGCUUGUUGGUGGGGUAGUGGCUUACCAAGGCUUUGACGGGUAGCCGGCCUGAGAGGGUGACCGGCCACAUUGGGACUGAGAUACGGCCCAGACUCCUACGGGAGGCAGCAGUGGGGAAUAUUGCACAAUGGGCGGAAGCCUGAUGCAGCAACGCCGCGUGCGGGAUGACUGCCUUCGAGUUGUAAACCGCUUUCGCCUGUGACGAAGCGUGAGUGACGGUAAUGGGUAAAGAAGCACCGGCUAACUACGUG
RNAcentral lists this ribosomal RNA (468 nucleotides) under uncultured bacterium. Its description in RNAcentral is "partial 16S ribosomal RNA". It matches the Rfam family "Bacterial small subunit ribosomal RNA", at positions 28 to 507 of the family's 1533-position model. The record is from RNAcentral.